UCAAACCACACAGCUUUGGCCAUAUACAUACAUGGGGUAUGUACAGCCACAGCCUGCCUGUUUGCUCAAGCCUUGGUCAAACAAACAGUUCCAUUAGAGCAAAGUCCCAGUGUUGUAGAACCAAGUAUAGAGUCAUUGCACAAUGAGAAGAUCUCUCUUGCAUCAAAGCUGCUGGGUCUUUAGCUGCUGUGACAUUUGCUAUGUAGGUUUAAAAAACAAAUGGCUGUCCCCAGUGAGGGUUGCAAUGCUAUAUUUCAGUUUCUAAAGAGACUGGUGUUCAAAGGAACUGAGCAGUUCUUUUUGAUCUGGGUAGGACAUCUGCAUACUGUAUUAGAGGUAGGAGAUUGCAGAACACCUAUUUAAACUACAGUAAAACCAGAAAGGUCUGAGAUCUGUUUUUCUAGUUCCUCUUCCCCAUGUCUGUUUAGCCCUUGAAGCCUUAAUAAAUAAAUUACUCUGGGGCAGCGUGAACAGCGAAACUCAGUGUCACUUUGUUUCAGUUACAUGUACAUUUCUCCGCAUGGGGAUUUCGUUUAGUUUCUGUUUUAUUUUCCUCUGUGAACGCCAGCUGUCCGUAGAAGAAAUGUUUUUUACUCACACCUGUUGUUUAAAUUUGACAAGCACCGAGUCGAGUAGGAACUUGUUGGCUUUCAUUGCAUCGCUUGGAAAAAAUGUCAUCAUCCUUUAAGUAGAUCAGAGCUUCCCUUCCAGCACCAGUGAACCUGGAGGUUGAUUCUCCUCUGAUGCCUGCAUCAGUAUCUUGCUUGCCUUUGCACUACAAGAUUGUUUUCAUUGGAGAUGAAAGGAUGAAAAGAAUCCAAGCUGAAUGUCAGAUGUGAAGAGUAUGCAGGUAGUAAAACUGUUCUACUGCGUAAUGUAAAUCACACUGAAGUAUUAACUGUAAGUUGUGUGCAUAGGUGUACCUGACAAAUGCUGCUAUACACCAGAAAGUAUAUAUAGGAUCUAAAACAUGGAAGUGGUUUCCCCUUGGUUCAGAGUCACAGCAAUAAUCUAUAUCCAACUCAAGCAGGUGGUAGGUUAUUCCAUGUAGCAGGAGGGACAAACUGUCCCACACUUAGUGCUUACUGCAGAAGUCAAUUAUCCCAGGCAAUUGUCUUCCCUCAGCAGUGUAGUUUUAAAAAUGUUCUUAGUAGUUUCCUAUAGCUCAUUAUGCAAAGGGACAAAAAUACCUACUAUAGUUUUUGCAGUUGUCCCAUUGCAGCACAAAUAUAUGUAAAUGCUAAUAACUUGAUUUAGUUUACCUGAAUGGAAAGGGGUCAGAGUAAAAUCCCUUCGUACUGAUCUGUGUAGCAUGUAGUAAUUGUGCACUUACACAUCUUUAGAGAGGCUCUUAUGAAACAUGCCUGGGCUUGGGAACAAUAACACGUAGCAAAAGAAUGGAGUUUGUGGUGUGUGUGGAUUUGCUCCCAUAAGAAUACAUGAGCCCAGUGCCAAAUGCCUCCACCCAAAUAUCCGAGAUGUUACUAAUUUGAUAAGAGACCUUUUCCUGUUUUUUUUACUAGCCUGUGCAGUUUCUCAAGCUGUCUGUUCUCAGUUCUCACUAAGUGAUUUUAGUGGCACAGAACAUGUCUGCAGAGCAAAAUGAAGGUUUUGCAGCACAGGUGUUUUACAUUACACCUUCUGUGACUUGUUACUUUGUUUUGAAGACUUCAGUCUGAAAAGAUGUAUUUGGAAAAAUCAAAGAUACUGAUGCUGCCUGGUACCUAUUGCAUCGUUCAUGUUUUAGGAAAUACGGAUGAAGUCUCAUAAUUUACAAAUACCUGAUGUUUCAAUGUAUUGUUGACCACCAGCAGCAGAGUGAGCCUAUUAUGCCUUUGGAUGGUGGGCUGCACCACUGCAGAACAGUAUAAAAGUUGCUGCCCAUCUUGUUGUUGCUCCCCAGCUCACACAGUAACAGUAUUAUGAAAAAGCCAGUGAAAGCAGCAGUGCACAACUACAAGGGCAAGAUGACUAGGAAGAUACAGGAGCACUUUGUUUGAAGGGCUCAUGUUAUUGAGCCUUUAGUGUUCGUCUUACUGGAAGGCUAUAAAGCCUUAAAGGAUUCUUCAUGAUGAGACUCUAAAGCUGGCCUAUGUGGAGGUAAGUGAGCACAGCCCUGCUUUGCUGAGCCACCCAUUGUGUCACACCAUUCUUAUAAUCCAAAGAAGGCAUAUUUCUUCACAUAGGCUUUUAAAAUCUGUUAAGUCCAACUUGGCAAGCAGGCAGAGCAGAGGAAAAGUCAGCUGGUUUAAUGCUAAACUAUGUGGAGUUUUUCCACUGUGCCAGAGUGGCCUCCAGAUGGACUUUUCUGGCUGUGUUACAAGAGGAAGAUGGAUUACAGCUGAGAGUCUGUCUCUAUACUUCUAAGUGACUGAUGGAUGAAGACAGAAAAAAGCAGGGGUUUUGUUAAAUUUAGAAUUGGAUUAGCUAAGUGCUUGCUGUCCUCAUUUUCUCUUGCUAUCAGUGGUAUCAGAAAAUUCUCAGAACCUUGUUAAGUCUGAUACCUCAACUUGAAGUUAACCAAACCAGCAGUUUAGGGGAAGACAAUGGAUUACAGCAGACUCUGUUGUGCUACUGGAUUUAACACAGCUCUUCAUUAAGGCAAUCAGAGGAAGAUGGCAAGAUCUGCUUCUGGCUUAGGCCCAUUCACAAGUGUGGUGCCAAGGAGUGUUCCUACUGAGCAGGUUAAAGUAACAAUGCAGAGAAUCCUGCAAAAUGCUUCCAGAGACAGUUUUAACACGGUGAAAAUGAAUUAUAAGGAAGUAAAUACAUCAUCUUGUGCCAGUUGGGUAUGAAGUUGUACUGUGAUAAGCAACAGUUUUAUUGAAAAAAUACUAAUGAGGAAUAAAUGCCUGCAGCGAAAAGUGGUAGCAUCUGGUCUGUGUUUGAC
Apus apus (common swift) is the source of this 2890-nucleotide long non-coding RNA. RefSeq lists it as uncharacterized. Lineage: Eukaryota; Metazoa; Chordata; Aves; Apodiformes; Apodidae. The record is from RefSeq and is a predicted model, not a curated record. The transcript has 3 exons.